RNAcentral lists this long non-coding RNA (4513 nucleotides) under Homo sapiens (human). RNAcentral describes it as "HSALNT0249936". The record is from RNAcentral. Lineage: Eukaryota; Metazoa; Chordata; Mammalia; Primates; Hominidae.
GUUUUGCUAUGUUGGUCAGGCUGGUCUCGAACUCCUGAUCUUAAAUGAUCUGCCCCCCUUGACCUCCCAAAGUGCUGGGAUUACAGUUGUGAGCUACUGUGCCUGGCCAUUAGGCCCCUGUGAUUUCAUCUUUGACCCAACCAAACAGCUUUCCCCACUUCCUAACCGCCUACCCACCAAAUUAUCCUUAAAAAUCCCAAUUCUUGCAUUUUGGGGGAUACUGACUUGAGUAAUAAUAAAACUCCAGCCAGCUCUGUGUGAAUUAAACACUUUCUCUAUUACAAUUCCCCUGUCUUGAUAAAUUGGCUGUGUUUAGGCACAGGCAAGGAGAACCCGUUGAGCAGUUACACAUUUUCCACAUGGCAGACAGUGUGGCCUUCUUAAAAUGUCAGUCAUUGGCCAGGUGUGGUCACUCACAACUGUAAGCCCAGCACUUUGGGAGGGCAAGGUGGGUGGAUCACUUGAGCCCAGGAGUUCGACACCAGCUUGAGCAACAUAGGGAGACCCCGUCUCUACAAAAAAUACAAAAGUUCGUUGGUCGUGGUGGCCCGCACAUGUAAGUCCCAGCUAUUCAAGAGGCUGAGUUGGGAGGAUCACUUGAUCCUGAAACACAGAGGUUGCAGUGAACCGAGAUUGCUCCACUGCACUCCAGCCUGGGCAAUAGAGUGAGACCCUGUCUCUAUAAAAAAUAAUAAAAUGUUAAUUACUUUUUGAACAUGGAAUGUUCCUGCUCGGAGCCUCUCAGGGCUCCUUAUUGCGCUUGGAACACCAGUGCCUCACCAUGCUCUCCAGAGCCCUGUCUGGGCAGGUUGCUGUCCCCACCUCAGACUCACUUUGUCUCACCUGGCCACCGUCUCACUGCUCUUGCCACAUUGGUCUUCUGUCUCCCAAACAUGCCCUGCUCAGACCCACCCCAGUGCUCUUGCUGCUCUUUGCUUUGAAUGAGGGUCCUUCCCAUGGCUGCGUUUCCUCAUCAUUCCAAGGCGAGGCCUUCGUUGACUACUCCAAUAAAUAAUUCCUCCCUGACCCCACCCAACAAGUCAUUCUUUGUCCUUACUGGCUUGUAUUGUUGUCACAGUAAACUUAUAUCUGAGAUUACGUUAUUUACUCAUUGUUUACCUGUUCCCCUCCAGAAUGAACCCCUGGCAGCUGGACUGUGUCUGUCCUGUUUGCUGUUCCAUAUGUGAUUCCUAGCCCAGGGCCUGGACUCUAUAAGGAUUUGCUGAAUGCAUGAGUUCUUACAAUGAGAGAGAGGCCCUGGGAGGCAGGCACUGUUGUCAUCCCCACUUCACAUGCACAGAGACUGAGGCUCAGAGAGAUGGAGUCACUAGGCCAAAGCCAUGCAGGUGGUGUGGGACCUGAUCCAGCUCCCUCUGGCUCAGAACCCCAUGCUCUUCCUACUGGUCCUCUCCUUGCCUCGUUUACCUGCUAUAGACUUUCCAGCACUUCACAAGCCCUCAAGGGAAGGAUGUGUUUCUGAGUCCCGGUUUCCCCAACACAUUAAUUUUCUCUGCAUUAUUUCCCUGUUCUAAAACUGGCACUAGGCGUCCAUGUAAACUCCUCUGCCUAAAAUAUCAAGCUUUCCUGUAAUUUCUUUUUAGCACCACUUCUCCUUUCUCUAGAAACCCUGUGCUUUAUCUAUUCCCUACCCAGGAAUUAUUAUUUUUUUGGUUCAACAGGAAGGCAGGAUGACUUCAAAGAUCUGCUAGUGCACCUGGAUUCUGGUUUUCUUACUAUUCAGCUUCAUGACCUUGAACAAACUUUACUCAGCUUGGCUGUGCCUCAGUUUAGUCAUCUGGAAAGGAAGGGGAUAGGACUAUAACUAAAUAUAAUUCUAGAUCAUUUUAAGUAUCAUCUGUGCACUCACGCAAUAUGUGCAUGGAACGUGGAGGCGAGAGUACAAAAGGCAUGGUGCUUGCCUAUCGACAUGAGGCCCCUACAACCCAGGGAAGGCCCGGUGGUCCAGGAUCCAGUGCUGCUCCCCAUGUGCCCAUCUCACAUGCUGCUCGGCACCAGCAGCCAUCACCACUCCACUUCUCUCAAGAGAUGGAGGAAGGAGGUCCCAAGCCAAGGAAUGCAGCAUGGGCCUCUAGAAGCUGGAAUGACCCUCACCUCACGGCCAGCAAGAAAUCAGGGAACUCAGUCUUACCCGAGUGAGCAGGAAAUCGAUUCUCCUCUGCAGCCUCUAUAGAGAACACAGCCUGUCAACACCCUGAUUUUGGCCCAAUGAGCCCUGUACCUCCAGAAGUGUAACGUAAUAAAUUUGUGUUGUUUUAAGCUAUUAAGCUGUGGUUAAUUUGUUAUGGCGCCAAGAGAAAACUAACAUGACACAUACUUCUCUAUAUAUUCUUCCCUUCUAGAAUUACCUCUUCCCAAUUUUCCUUUUUUUUUUUUUUUUUUUUAGACAAGGUCUCCCUCUGUCACCCAGGCUGGAGUGCAGUGGCACUAUCUUGGCUCACUGCAGCCUCCACCUCCUGGGUUCCAGCAAUUCUCAUGCCUCAGCCUCCCGAGUAGCUGGGAUUACAGGUAUCUGCCACCAUGCCCAGCUAAUUUUUUGUGUUUUUAGUAGACAGGAUUUCGCCAUGUUGGCCAGGCUGGUCUCGAACUCCCGGCCUCAGGUGAUCUGCCCACCUCGGCCUCCCAAAGUGCUGGGAUUACAAGUGUGAGCCACCACUCCUGGCCCCAAUUUUCCAAUUCUACUAGUCUCAAACUCUGUUUUCUGUCCACUUCAAGUCAAUCAAGCGAUGGCUCUCUGCAGCUGGAGCUGCUCACUGAUUGGGGGUUGCCCUCAUGUCAAAAGCCAUAAACUCACAAAUCCCAACAAUUUUCAUUCAUUUUUCAAGGGUGGUUUUCCUACAGUUUCUGCCUUCUUUUGAUCAAUCUCUAAUACCUUCACACAUUAUUUUAAAAAUGCUUUGCUCAGAUUGUAUAAUUUUUAUUUUAUUUUAUUUAUUUUUUUUGAGACAGAGUCUUACUCUGUCGCCCAGGUGGUGCACCACCUCGCCCACCUAAUUUUUUUCUCUUGUUUGGUAUUUCUAGUAGAGACGGGGUUUCACCAUGUUGACCAGACUAGUCUCAAACUCUUGACCUUAAGUGAUUCGCCUGCCUUGGCCUUCCUAAGUGCUGGGAUUACAGGAGUAAGCCACGGAGCCCAGCCAGAUUGUAUAACUUUUAUCUGCAAGAAGAUUAGUCCACCGUUACCAAAAGCUGGAACCUCAUUAUACUCUUCUGCCUACUUUCACGUUUGCAAUUUUCCAUAAUUUAAAAAGAGAAAAAAAAUUUUAAACGCUCUAGUGGGAUGUUUUAAUUUUACUUAUUCUCAUUAAUCUGAAGCCUAAAAAUGAGUUGCUAUCUCUUAAUGUGACAGUUGAAAUAAAAGAAACGGAAUAAAAGGGGGAGUUUUCGAAGCCUUUGAUGGGGGAGGAAAGACCCCAAGCUUCUCUCCUUAGAGGGAAGGAAUCCUUACUUACAGGUUAGUUCCACCACGUGCAGUUCCUCACAGUGACCAGCAGGGGGAAAAAGUAGUUUUGCGUUUCCGAUGGAUCCCUGCGCCCCGCUGCCAAUUCCCCAAGCAAAGGGAAGCGAGGGGAGAGCGCGGAGCCCCCGAUUAGCGUUCGGAGGAACUGGCCUAGAGGGGCCACUCGGAGCGCAAAGGCCCCGCGAAAUAGAAUAUCUAUACGCCCAGCAACCCUCCCUUUCGAGGCGCACGGAAUAAGUUGGCUGGAACUCUCCGCUGACCGCUCCGCCUGGGACUCAGGGUUGCAGCCGCACAGAGCUUCCUCCGGGGCGCCCAGGGCGGCGCGAGCAGGAGGGGGACCCAGUGUGGCCGCGCCCGGGAACUCGGGGGACCAGGUGAGGCUGCGCCCGGGUCCCAGUGGGAUCCAGAUGAGCGUACGCCCAAGCCCGCGGGGGACCAGGUGAGCCCGCGCCCGGGUCUGAGUGGGAUCCAGUGAGCAGUGGCAGUUUGGGAGUCUGGGCUCAUGGAAUGCCCACAUGAUCGCAUCAUGAUCGCAUCUGGUUCACAUGAUCGCAUCAUCGCCCAACAUGGGGUGGGACUUAGACUGCCUCCCUGGGGCAAGGGCAGCUCGAGAGAAAAAGCAGCAGGUGCUUUGGAAGAUAGGCUUUCAAUUCCUUCGAGGCUGCAACUUAACUCAAGAGACAGUUCCUCCCAUGGAAGCGACUGAAUCCUGUUUUUCAACACUUGUAAAGCCAGUUUCAUCCUGUCACUCUGAGAGACAUCAGCACCUACCACCCAGCACUUCCGCUUCAGAGGUUUGAGUUCCAGACCCACUGGGCUCUUGUCCAAGCUCAGAGACAUCAGCACCAACUGGCCAGUACCCUCUCCUCAAAGGUCUGGGCCCCUGUCCCUCUGAGCAGCUCAGAAACACCAGUGCCAGUGGAAGCAGCUUGCCCUCUUGUGACUGAGGAGGAGAAAUGUGGCCUACUUGAAGAACAGGACACUGGCACUUCUCAGCAUGCCACUUAUUUUUAUCUUAACAACACUGUGAACCAG